RNAcentral lists this ribosomal RNA (433 nucleotides) under uncultured bacterium. RNAcentral describes it as "partial 16S ribosomal RNA". It matches the Rfam family "Bacterial small subunit ribosomal RNA", at positions 29 to 507 of the family's 1533-position model. The record is from RNAcentral.
AACGAACGCUGGCGGCAUGCCUAACACAUGCAAGUCGAACGAGACCUUCGGGUCUAGUGGCGCACGGGUGCGUAACGCGUGGGAACCUGCCCUUAGGUUCGGAAUAACUCCCCGAAAGGGGUGCUAAUACCGGAUAAUGUCUUCGGACCAAAGAUUUAUCGACUUUGGAUGGGCCCGCGUUGGAUUAGGUAGUUGGUAGGGUAAAAGCAUACCAAGGCGACGAUCCAUAGCUGGUCUGAGAGGAUGCUCAGCCACACUGGGACUGAGACACGGCCCAGACUCCUACGGGAGGGAGCAGUGGGGAAUAUUGGAAAGUGGGCGAAAGCCUGAUCCAGCAAUGCCGCGUGAGUGAUGAAGGCCUUAGGGUUGUAAAGCUCUUUUACCCGGGAUGAUAAUGACAGUACCGGGAGAAUAAGCUCCGGCUAACUCCGUG